AAAGGGGUGAGGAGCUCUACACAUGGGGUGGAUCCAUUUGUGUUUGUUUGUGUUGUCCGGGCAUAUCAAACUCCCUCGUAGGUUAGAACAUGCUCAAAUCUACCUCUCAUUGAAGGAAUUGUACGCAUGCAUACAAUUUGGACAUGAUCGAAGGAUGCACAAAGUGAUGUAUCUAGCAUCUAGGCACGGAAGGCAUCGGGAAUUUGAUACCCUUAUUCAGCAAGCGAGUUACAUCUACUAUACCAUCAAUUUUCUUAUCAAAUUCACAAC
This 270-nucleotide long non-coding RNA is filed under the name Oryza brachyantha (malo sina). RNAcentral describes it as "long non-coding RNA (OBRA_LNC001175)". The record is from RNAcentral. Lineage: Eukaryota; Viridiplantae; Streptophyta; Magnoliopsida; Poales; Poaceae.